This 544-nucleotide ribosomal RNA is filed under the name Borsonia sp. NP-2008. RNAcentral describes it as "partial 12S ribosomal RNA". The record is from RNAcentral. Lineage: Eukaryota; Metazoa; Mollusca; Gastropoda; Neogastropoda; Conidae.
GACUAAAGAAUUAAGUUAUAUUAAUACGGUAAAAAAGACAGUUAGACAGUAACCUUAGUUUCUUGAUUAUUUAUAAAAAAGUAAAAUUUGUAUAUAAAUAUAAUAACCUAACAAUGACUUUAUGGUUGAAUCUGUGAUAGCUUUAAGGGAAACUGGGAUUGGAUACCCCAUUAUUUUUAGCUGUAAAUUAAAUAGCUAAUUUAUCAGAGUACUAUGAAUAUAAAGUUUAAAACUCAAAGAGCUUGGCGGUGUUUUAGACCUUUCAGGGGAACCUGUUUUAUAAUCGACAAUCCACGCUAUACCUGACCUUUUUUUGUAAUCAGUUUGUAUACCGUCGUCGUCAGGUAACUUUUAAAAAACCAAAAGUUAGCUAACAAAUUUUAUAAAUUAGAACGUCAGAUCAAGGUGCAACUUAUAAAAAGGAAAAAAUGGGUUACAAUUAUAAAAUUGUAAUUACGAAAAAUUAUAUAAAUAUAUAAUUAGAAGGAGGACUUGAAAGUAAUUUUGAUUAUAUAAAAAAUUUGAAUAAGGCUCUGAAACGUGC